This 396-nucleotide transfer RNA is filed under the name uncultured Microcystis sp. RNAcentral describes it as "bacterial LSU rRNA". The stretch from base 133 to 206 matches the Rfam family "tRNA". Lineage: Bacteria; Bacillati; Cyanobacteriota; Cyanophyceae; Chroococcales; Microcystaceae. The record is from RNAcentral.
AAGGGAGACCUAAUUCGGGUAUAAGACGAAAAAAUAGUAGUCGAAACCAAGAAUCAAUCCCAAAAGGUCGGAGCGAGGCAUGAGGCUUUCAAACUAGGUUCUGGGUUCAUAAAAGACCUGAAUCAGGAACAAGGGCUAUUAGCUCAGGUGGUUAGAGCGCACCCCUGAUAAGGGUGAGGUCCCUGGUUCGAGUCCAGGAUGGCCCACCUGCACAGGUGGCAAAAACAAAAGAAGCGAGGAAUCAGCACCUUAUCCUACUUAUAUAGUAAGAGAGAAUGCUGGCUCUGAGUAAAGAGUCCAGAGGAACCUUGAAAACUGCAUAGAGCUAGGUGAAAAAGCCAAAAAAGAAGACCGCAAGGUCAAGCUAAUAAGGGCUAACGGUGGAUACCUAGGCAC